GACGAACGCUGGCGGCGUGCCUAAUACAUGCCAGUCGAACGAGAGCGACCGGUGCUUGCACUGGUCAAUCUAGUGGCGAACGGGUGAGUAACACGUGGGUAACCUGCCCAUCAGAGGGGGAUAACAUCCGGAAACGGAUGCUAAAACCGCAUAGGUCUUCGAGCCGCAUGGCUUGAAGAGGAAAAGAGGCGCAAGCUUCUGCUGAUGGAUGGACCCGCGGUGCAUUAGCUAGUUGGUGAGGUAACGGCUCACCAAGGCCGUGAUGCAUAGCCGACCUGAGAGGGUGAUCGGCCACAUUGGGACUGAGACACGGCCCAAACUCCUACGGGAGGCAGCAGUAGGGAAUCUUCCGCAAUGGACGCAAGUCUGACGGAGCAACGCCGCGUGAGUGAAGAAGGUUUUCGGAUCGUAAAACUCUGUUGUUAGAGAAGAACAAGUGCUAGAGUAACUGUUAGCGCCUUGACGGUAUCUAACCAGAAAGCCACGGCUAACUACGUG
RNAcentral lists this ribosomal RNA (498 nucleotides) under uncultured bacterium. RNAcentral's name for it is "partial 16S ribosomal RNA". It matches the Rfam family "Bacterial small subunit ribosomal RNA", at positions 28 to 507 of the family's 1533-position model. The record is from RNAcentral.